Long non-coding RNA from Megalobrama amblycephala (Wuchang bream), 918 nucleotides. RefSeq lists it as uncharacterized. The transcript has 3 exons. Lineage: Eukaryota; Metazoa; Chordata; Actinopteri; Cypriniformes; Xenocyprididae. The record is from RefSeq and is a predicted model, not a curated record.
UAGAAGAAAACAGUGUCAUUGUUCAGCUUAAGUCAGUUCAGUGUUGAUUUAGUUCCAUUGUCUCUAAAAAAUUGACAGUGGCGAGGAACUGGCAGUUUUGUGUCCCUUUAUACUCUAAUUACUAUAAGAAAGAGGAGCUGGUGAUGGACAGGGACCAGGAGGAGACAAACACCAUGGUGGAGCCGAUGGCGGGAGAAGCGAGGGUGGAGCUUUGGCUGAAAGGAUGGGCAGAACCCAGGGACUGAUCGACUGAGGUGGAACCAGGGUGCAUGAAGGAACCGGUGGUGCAGAGAGGCUGACGGACCAGGGUGACUUCUAUGCCAGGAAGCCCAAGGUGAAGCUGCUAGCUCGCGGGACAGAGACCACCAUCCUGGAGCAUCCAGCCCAAAUACUCCAGCAAAUUCCAGUGUUCAGGGAGGAGAAGGAGGUGCCACGCUGAGCUCUCGAGAAGCCCUCAAUAAUAACAGACAGGCCAGGCUGUUCCUCACCCCGAUGAAGGAGCAUCUUCAGCCCUCUUCACGCGCAGCAGUCCCCCCAGAACAAACCACCACUCUUGGGUAUUAAUCAACUGCCCCUUUACAUGCCCUCACCCAAACUCUCAUUGUGUGGGAGUUCAUUCCAGCACUGCCAUUGAUGCCUGUAAGGGCACUACGGCUAUGAAUAAUGGGCCUCAGGAAUAUAAUGCUGAUUUAUGCAAAUAACAGAAGAGGCUCCAACUGCCCAUGUAACUCUUUCCAAAACAAAACAAACAGAUGAGAUGCUGAAAGAGAAGAUCAAUGCUCUGGAGGAAAAAGUGGAGUCUUUGACUGAAGAGAGAAACUUUCUCAGAGAGAGUCUGGAAGAUGGUGUUUCCCCUCCACUACUGUGGCACAAAUUGCACAAACACUUGAAAUAUAAAUUAAUAAAUAAAUAAAUAUA